Molecule: ribosomal RNA, 412 nt
Filed under: uncultured Desulfobacteraceae bacterium
Lineage: Bacteria; Pseudomonadati; Thermodesulfobacteriota; Desulfobacteria; Desulfobacterales; Desulfobacteraceae
Description: bacterial SSU rRNA
Rfam family: Bacterial small subunit ribosomal RNA
Source: RNAcentral
UGCCAGCAGCCGCGGUAAUACGGGGGGUGCAAGCGUUAUUCGGAAUCAUUGGGCGUAAAGGGCGCGUAGGCGGCCCCUUAAGUCAGAUGUGAAAGCCCUCAGCUUAACUGAGGAAGUGCAUUUGAAACUAAGGGGCUUGAGUAUGGGAGAGGGAAGCGGAAUUCCUGGUGUAGCGGUGAAAUGCGUAGAUAUCAGGAGGAACACCGGUGGCGAAGGCGGCUUCCUGGACCAAUACUGACGCUGAGGCGCGAAGGCGUGGGGAGCAAACAGGAUUAGAUACCCUGGUAGUCCACGCAGUAAACUGUGAACACUAGGUGUAGCGGGUAUUGACCCCUGCUGUGCCGAAGCUAACGCAUUAAGUGUUCCGCCUGGGAAGUACGGUCGCAAGGCUAAAACUCAAAUAAAUUGGCGG